RNAcentral lists this ribosomal RNA (718 nucleotides) under uncultured fungus. RNAcentral's name for it is "SSU rRNA". It matches the Rfam family "Eukaryotic small subunit ribosomal RNA", at positions 329 to 1051 of the family's 1831-position model. The record is from RNAcentral. Lineage: Eukaryota; Fungi.
UAGGAUAGAGGCCUACCAUGGUUUCAACGGGUAACGGGGAAUAAGGGUUCGAUUCCGGAGAGGGAGCCUGAGAAACGGCUACCACAUCCAAGGAAGGCAGCAGGCGCGCAAAUUACCCAAUCCCGACACGGGGAGGUAGUGACAAUAAAUAACAAUACGGGGUUCUUUCGGAUCUCGUAAUUGGAAUGAGUACAAUUUAAAUCUCUUAACGAGGAACAAUUGGAGGGCAAGUCUGGUGCCAGCAGCCGCGGUAAUUCCAGCUCCAAUAGCGUAUAUUAAAGUUGUUGCAGUUAAAAAGCUCGUAGUUGAAUUUCGGGGUUAGUAGGUUGGUCAUGCCUCUGGUAUGUACUGGUCUCACUGAUUCCUCCUUCCUGAUGAACCGUAAUGCCAUUAAUUUGGUGUUGCGGGGAAUUUGGACUGUUACUUUGAAAAAAUCAGAGUGUUUAAAGCAAGCUAACGCUUGAAUACAUUAGCAUGGAAUAAUGAAAUAGGACGUUCGAUCCUAUUUUGUUGGUUUCUAGGAUUGACGUAAUGAUUAAUAGGGAUAGUUGGGGGCAUUAGUAUUCAAUUGUCAGAGGUGAAAUUCUUGGAUUUAUUGAAGACUAACUACUGCGAAAGCAUUUGCCAAGGAUGUUUUCAUUAAUCAAGAACGAAAGUUAGGGGAUCGAAGACGGUCAGAUACCGUCGUAGUCUUAACCAUAAACUAUGCCGACUAGGG